UACGUAGGGUGCAAGCGUUGUCCGGAAUUAUUGGGCGUAAAGAGCUUGUAGGCGGUUUGUCGCGUCUGCUGUGAAAUUUCGGGGCUCAACCCCGAACUUGCAGUGGGUACGGGCAGACUAGAGUCGGUGUAGGGGAGUACGUGGAAUUCCUGGUGUAGCGGUGAAAUGCGCAGAUAUCAGGAGGAACACCGGUGCGGAAGGCGGGUCUCUGGGCCGAUACUGACGCUGAGGAAGCGAAAGCGUGGGGGAGCGAACAGG
This 258-nucleotide ribosomal RNA is filed under the name uncultured bacterium. RNAcentral's name for it is "partial 16S ribosomal RNA". It matches the Rfam family "Bacterial small subunit ribosomal RNA", at positions 524 to 776 of the family's 1533-position model. The record is from RNAcentral.